RNAcentral lists this ribosomal RNA (466 nucleotides) under uncultured bacterium. RNAcentral's name for it is "partial 16S ribosomal RNA". It matches the Rfam family "Bacterial small subunit ribosomal RNA", at positions 28 to 507 of the family's 1533-position model. The record is from RNAcentral.
GACGAACGCUGGCGGCGUGCUUAACACAUGCAAGUCGAACGAUGAAGCCCUGCUUGCUGGGUGGAUUAGUGGCGAACGGGUGAGUAACACGUGAGUAACCUGCCCUCCACUCUGGGAUAACUCCGGGAAACCGGUGCUAAUACUGGCUAUGACUGCUGCCUGCAUGGGUGGUUGUGGAAAGAUUUAUCGGUGGUGGAUGGACUCGCGGCCUAUCAGCUUGUUGGUGGGGUAAUGGCCUACCACGGCGACGACGGGUAGCCGGCCUGAGAGGGUGACCGGCCACACGGGGACUGGGACACGGCCCAGACUCCUACGGGAGGCAGCGGUGGGGAAUAUUGCACUAUGGACGGACGCCUGAUGCAGCAACACCGCGUGCGGGAUGUCAGCCUUCGUGUUGUAAACCGAUUUCAGCACUGACGAAGCAUUUAUGACGGUAGGGGCAGAGGAAGCACCGGCUAACUACGUG